UACGUAGGGUGCAAGCGUUGUCCGGAAUUAUUGGGCGUAAAGAGCUCGUAGGCGGUUUGUUGCGUCGGCUGUGAAAUCCCGAGGCUCAACCUCGGGCCUGCAGUCGAUACGGGCAGACUAGAGUGAUGUAGGGGAGACUGGAAUUCCUGGUGUAGCGGUGAAAUGCGCAGAUAUCAGGAGGAACACCGAUGGCGAAGGCAGGUCUCUGGGCAUUAACUGACGCUGAGGAGCGAAAGCAUGGGGAGCGAACAGG
This 253-nucleotide ribosomal RNA is filed under the name uncultured bacterium. RNAcentral describes it as "partial 16S ribosomal RNA". It matches the Rfam family "Bacterial small subunit ribosomal RNA", at positions 524 to 776 of the family's 1533-position model. The record is from RNAcentral.